CCAGCUCCAAUAGCGUAUAUUAAAGUUGUUGCAGUUAAAAAGCUCGUAGUUGAACCUUUGGGACUGCCUGUGGGUUCCGCGCAAGCGGCGACUCACUGUGUAGGCCUACUUUUGAGGGUCGGGCCUUUGGCUCGCCUCCCUCGGGUUACUGUGAAGAAAUUAGAGUGUUUAAAGCAGGCUUACGCUUGAAUACAUCAGCAUGGAAUAACAAGCAAGACUAGAGUCUUCUUGUUGGUUUGGAGACUAGAGUAAUGAUUAAUAGGGCCAGUUGGGGGCAUUAGUAUUCAGUAGUCAGAGGUGAAAUUCUUGGAUUUACUGAAGACUAACUAGUGCGAAAGCAUUUGCCAAGGAUGUUUUCA
Molecule: ribosomal RNA, 359 nt
Filed under: uncultured Paramicrosporidium
Lineage: Eukaryota; Fungi; Rozellomycota
Description: partial small subunit ribosomal RNA
Rfam family: Eukaryotic small subunit ribosomal RNA
Source: RNAcentral